Melitaea cinxia (Glanville fritillary) is the source of this 137-nucleotide long non-coding RNA. RefSeq lists it as uncharacterized. The transcript is spliced from 2 exons. NCBI's taxonomy places the organism in Eukaryota, Metazoa, Arthropoda, Insecta, Lepidoptera, Nymphalidae. The record is from RefSeq and is a predicted model, not a curated record.
GUCUUGACUAUCCACGAAGCACAGGGCCAGACGAGUGAGAGUGUCAUCGUCAUCUAGACGAGGAAUGGGAGGGUGCGAAUACAUGACAGCGUUUCGCACGCGAUACGAUGUUGCUGAGUAACGCCUACCUUGAAAUA